This 108-nucleotide small nuclear RNA is filed under the name Canis lupus familiaris (dog). The record is from RNAcentral. RNAcentral also lists the same sequence under 1 other name. Lineage: Eukaryota; Metazoa; Chordata; Mammalia; Carnivora; Canidae.
GUGUUCGUUUUGUCAGCACUUAUACUAAAACUGGGAUGAUCCAGAGAAGAUUAGUGGUGGCCCUUGAGCAAGGAUGACAUGCAGGUUUGUGAAAUGUUCCAUAUUAAA